AACGUAGGAGACAAACGUUAUCCGGAGUUACUGGGCGUAAAGGGCGUGUAGGUGGUUUCGUAAGUCUGGCGUGAAAUUUUUCGGCUUAACCGGGAAAGGUCGUCGGAUACUGCGGAACUAGAGGACGGUAGAGGCGUGUGGAAUUCCGGGUGUAGUGGUGAAAUGCGUAGAGAUCGGGAGGAACACCUGUGGCGAAGGCGGCUCGCUGGGCCGGUCCUGACGCUGAAACGCGAAGGCGUGGGAGCGAACGGG
Molecule: ribosomal RNA, 252 nt
Filed under: uncultured bacterium
Lineage: Bacteria
Description: partial 16S ribosomal RNA
Rfam family: Bacterial small subunit ribosomal RNA
Source: RNAcentral